This 301-nucleotide ribosomal RNA is filed under the name uncultured bacterium. Its description in RNAcentral is "partial 16S ribosomal RNA". It matches the Rfam family "Bacterial small subunit ribosomal RNA", at positions 509 to 808 of the family's 1533-position model. The record is from RNAcentral.
CAGUCGCCGCGGUAAUACGUAGGUCCCGAGCGUUGUCCGGAUUUAUAGGGCGUAAAGGGAGCGCAGGCGGUUUAGUAAGUCUGAAGUUAAAGGCAUUGGCUCAACCAAUGUAUGCUUUGGAAACUGUUAGACUUGAGUGCAGAAGGGGAGAGUGGAAUUCCAUGUGUAGCGGUGAAAUGCGUAGAUAUAUGAAGGAACACCGGUGGCGAAAGCGGCUCUCUGGUCUGUCACUGACGCUGAGGCUCGAAAGCGUGGGUAGCGAACAGGAUUAGAUACCCCAGUAGUCCCUGUCUCUUAUACA